UACACACGUGCUACAAUGGCGCAUACAAAGAGAAGCGACCUCGCGAGAGCAAGCGAACCUCAUAAAGUGCGUCGUAGUCCGGAUUGGAGUCUGCAACUCGACUCCAUGAAGUCGGAAUCGCUAGUAAUCGUGGAUCAGAAUGCCACGGUGAAUACGUUCCCGGGCCUUGUACACACCGCCCGUCACACCAUGGGAGUGGGUUGCAAAAGAAGUAGGUAGCUUAACCUUCGGGAGGGCGCUUACCACUUUGUGAUUCAUGACUGGGGUGAAGUCGUAACAAGGUAACCGUAGGGGAACCUGCGGUUGGAUCACCUCCUUACCUUAAAGAAGC
RNAcentral lists this ribosomal RNA (331 nucleotides) under Escherichia coli. Its description in RNAcentral is "bacterial SSU rRNA". It matches the Rfam family "Bacterial small subunit ribosomal RNA", at positions 1215 to 1533 of the family's 1533-position model. The record is from RNAcentral. Lineage: Bacteria; Pseudomonadati; Pseudomonadota; Gammaproteobacteria; Enterobacterales; Enterobacteriaceae.